AAGGCAACAUGUGCUGUCGUGGUUGAUUCGCAUGUGUAGCCGUUAUAUGAUUGUGAAUUGAAAUGUUAGUGUAAAAGUGUUCAUAGUACUUCAACAUAUAAACAUGCCACGUAGAUGCUGUAUGCCUACUUUCCACAAUUUUCCACCGUUUUACAAUUUAAGCACCAUUUUAUCACCUGUUUUUCUUGUUUCUUUUCUUCUUACGUUUUUAACGUCUGUAGGCUGCAGAGCAGCGUACGGCGGGGGGAUCGAAAUGCAGUAAAGGAAAAAAAGAAGACUUUAUGCAUGCUUGUAGAGGCUAUUAAACUGCUCGGGAAAGAGUCAGUACAUUCCAUUUCCCUCGUGAUGAAGAUGCAUGGAGAUAAUGGAUAAGAGCAGUUCACCGUGAUAAUUUCAUCCCUUCAGAUCACUCUGUGAUUUGUGAGCUGCAUUUCCAUGCACACGAAAUAGAAAGAAGUACAUCGUCAUAUGAUGCUAAGACUGGAAGAUUAAUUACACGCCUCUUGAUCGUCCACGUUUAAGGAAAGGUGCAAUACCAGCACUAUUGCCAGCAUGUCCUGAUUAUUUAUCUACACCAUAAGAAGGCAAUAUCUUUCUUUUCGUUGAAGGUAUUAUGUGAUAAAAUUAAUAGUAGUCAUUUGAAUGAGUGGACCUGUGUCAAAAAGUUGAAUGGUGUGUAUUUUCUUUUAAUUAGUGAAAUGCCAUUUUUGAGAGUUCUGUGGUAUGUUACAAUUAACGCAAGUCUCACUUUCACUGUCCAUGUCAAUGAUUAACAGCUUGGUCAAAUAGGGAACAUAAAGUUUCUAGUAACCAUAAGUACCAAAACACAGUUAGCUAAUAUUCUUAAUAUUGUCGAGUUAAAAUUUAGCAACAGAGAAGAUCAGGAACCUAAUGAGAGUAUUGAUUUCAUAACCACUAUUUUGAAUAAUUUAUCUGAAAACUUGCCAGAUAAACAUGAAAUUAUAAACGUUAUGGAAGAACAGAUUCCAUUGCUAAAAUGCAAGAAGAAAAUUGCAAGAUAUUCGUGGGAUAUUUUAGUUUUGUGGUCAUU
Schistocerca serialis cubense is the source of this 1051-nucleotide long non-coding RNA. RefSeq lists it as uncharacterized. Lineage: Eukaryota; Metazoa; Arthropoda; Insecta; Orthoptera; Acrididae. The record is from RefSeq and is a predicted model, not a curated record. The transcript is spliced from 3 exons.